Molecule: long non-coding RNA, 252 nt
Filed under: Lathyrus oleraceus (garden pea)
Lineage: Eukaryota; Viridiplantae; Streptophyta; Magnoliopsida; Fabales; Fabaceae
Description: Pisum sativum (pea) long non-coding RNA (PSAT_LNC004706)
Source: RNAcentral
ACAAAGUGAACAUUCACAAUGACGAAAGGAUACUUAGGAGAUCCUCAGUGCUCUCCCAAGGGUGGUACGAUCCCCAACAGGGUAAGAUUUUUGUCCAUAUUCCUGGCAUGACUGUAUCUCCUCCCUCCGGAACCCCUUGUGGUUUAUCCUACCAAGUGGAUUGCUUGUUGAGAGUCACCUCUCUUCCCUUCAGCAGAGUAGCGAUCUUUCUUCCUCAGCAGCUUGGAUCUUUUUGGGCAAGAGCGGUAUUUG